CUGUCCUCGUUUGUAUAAUGGUUAUAGUAAGAGAAGAUAAAAAAUGUAAUGAAUAAAAGUGUACCAUGUCUUGGUUUUUGUAAUCACACUAGCAGAGUACACACGCAGAAAAGUAACUGCACUGGAUUAUAAUGACUGGGAUGGACCUCUUUCUUAAUAUCCAGUGUCCUGUCUUAAGAUUUGGUGCCGGCAGU
Molecule: small nucleolar RNA, 194 nt
Filed under: Prolemur simus (greater bamboo lemur)
Lineage: Eukaryota; Metazoa; Chordata; Mammalia; Primates; Lemuridae
Description: Small nucleolar RNA SNORA81 (ENSPSMG00000014805.1)
Rfam family: Small nucleolar RNA SNORA81
Source: RNAcentral